RNAcentral lists this ribosomal RNA (253 nucleotides) under uncultured bacterium. Its description in RNAcentral is "partial 16S ribosomal RNA". It matches the Rfam family "Bacterial small subunit ribosomal RNA", at positions 524 to 776 of the family's 1533-position model. The record is from RNAcentral.
GACGUAGGGAGCGAGCGUUGUCCGGAUUCAUUGGGCGUAAAGAGCGCGCAGGCGGUUUGUCGCGUCUGCUGUGAAAACUGGAGGCUCAACCUCCAGCCUGCAGUGGGUACGGGCAGACUAGAGUGCGGUAGGGGAGAUUGGAAUUCCUGGUGUAGCGGUGGAAUGCGCAGAUAUCAGGAGGAACACCGAUGGCGAAGGCAGAUCUCUGGGCCGUAACUGACGCUGAGGAGCGAAAGCAUGGGGAGCGAACAGG